UCGGGAAUUUUGGGCAAUGGGCGAAAGCCUGACCCAGCAACGCCGCGUGAAGGAUGAAGUAUUUCGGUAUGUAAACUUCGAAAGAAUAGGAAGAAUAAAUGACGGCACUAUUUAUAAGGUCCGGCUAACUACGUGCCAGCAGCCGCGGUAAUACGUAGGGACCAAGCGUUGUUCGGAUUUACUGGGCGUAAAGGGCGCGUAGGCGGCAAUUCAAGUCAUCUGUGAAAUCUCCGGGCUUAACUCGGAACGGUCAGAUGAUACUGCUUUGCUAGAGUGCAGAAGGGGCAAUCGGAAUUCUUGGUGUAGCGGUGAAAUGCGUAGAUAUCAAGAGGAACACCUGAGGUGAAGACGGGUUGCUGGGCUGACACUGACGCUGAGGCGCGAAAGCCAGGGGAGCAAACGGGAUUAGAUACCCGGGUAGUCCCUGAGCGGGCUGGCAAGGCGCAU
Molecule: ribosomal RNA, 447 nt
Filed under: uncultured bacterium
Lineage: Bacteria
Description: bacterial SSU rRNA
Rfam family: Bacterial small subunit ribosomal RNA
Source: RNAcentral